GACGAACGCUGGCGGCGUGCUUAACACAUGCAAGUCGAACGGAAAGGCCCUGCUUUUGUGGGGUGCUCGAGUGGCGAACGGGUGAGUAAUACGUGAGUAACCUGCCCUUGACUUUGGGAUAACUUCAGGAAACUGGGGCUAAUACCGGAUAGGAGCUCCUGCUGCAUGGUGGGGGUUGGAAAGUUUCGGCGGUUGGGGAUGGACUCGCGGCUUAUCAGCUUGUUGGUGGGGUAGUGGCUUACCAAGGCUUUGACGGGUAGCCGGCCUGAGAGGGGGACCGGCCACAUUGGGACUGAGAUACGGACCAGACUCCUACGGGAGGCAGCAGUGGGGAAUAUUGCACAAUGGGCGGAAGCCUGAUGCAGCAACGCCGCGUGCGGGAUGACGGCCUUCGGGUUGUAAACCGCUUUCGCCUGUGACGAAGCGUGAGUGACGGUAAUGGGUAAAGAAGCACCGGCUAACUACGUG
Molecule: ribosomal RNA, 468 nt
Filed under: uncultured bacterium
Lineage: Bacteria
Description: partial 16S ribosomal RNA
Rfam family: Bacterial small subunit ribosomal RNA
Source: RNAcentral